CUUUUGAAGAAAAUGCUUUAAUAAAAUAUGAUAAAAUUAAUUGUAAUAAAAUGACUUCUACAAUUUGGCGCUCUCCAUACCGUAAAUUGAUUACUGAUUCCAACCACAUUCGAACUGGCAUCGGUGGCUUUGAUGGCACAGGAAUAAGGAUAUGUCCAAAAUACACAUCACGAACCUACACUGCGUGAACACAGAUAUUGCAACGAGAUUACAAUUGAAGAAACACUUCGGGAUUUUCACGUUGGGAGCGAAGAUAGAAAAAUCGUUGCUGUCUGAAAAUAUUGCAGCAAAAUUAAACAGCAGCGAAAUCGCAGGUAUCAACACAAGCGAAAUAAACUGAAGUCUUAUUCUUUAAUCUGCAAAAACUGACCUUUUUGUGCUUGAGUACAUUGGUCCAGGGUGCAGUGGUAUGGUAAAGAGCUGAAAAAACAUGGGUUUGCCGUGCAUGGUGGUGUGCAAGUGGCGCAUGUUGGACAUCCCGGCGAUCCCGCUGUGC
Molecule: long non-coding RNA, 496 nt
Organism: Paramacrobiotus metropolitanus
Lineage: Eukaryota; Metazoa; Tardigrada; Eutardigrada; Parachela; Macrobiotidae
Exons: 3
Source: RefSeq, a predicted model, not a curated record